RNAcentral lists this ribosomal RNA (472 nucleotides) under uncultured bacterium. RNAcentral's name for it is "bacterial SSU rRNA". It matches the Rfam family "Bacterial small subunit ribosomal RNA", at positions 355 to 825 of the family's 1533-position model. The record is from RNAcentral.
UGGGGAAUAUUGGACAAUGGGCGAAAGCCUGAUCCAGCCAUGCCGCGUGUGUGAAGAAGGUCUUCGGAUUGUAAAGCACUUUAAGUUGGGAGGAAGGGUUGUAGAUUAAUACUCUGCAAUUUUGACGUUACCGACAGAAUAAGCACCGGCUAACUCUGUGCCAGCAGCCGCGGUAAUACAGAGGGUGCAAGCGUUAAUCGGAAUUACUGGGCGUAAAGCGCGCGUAGGUGGUUUGUUAAGUUGGAUGUGAAAUCCCCGGGCUCAACCUGGGAACUGCAUUCAAAACUGACUGACUAGAGUAUGGUAGAGGGUGGUGGAAUUUCCUGUGUAGCGGUGAAAUGCGUAGAUAUAGGAAGGAACACCAGUGGCGAAGGCGACCACCUGGACUGAUACUGACACUGAGGUGCGAAAGCGUGGGGAGCAAACAGGAUUAGAUACCCCCGUAGUCCCUGAGCGGGCUGGCAAGGCGCAU